AUACCACGAUGGGGACAUCGCCUCAACAACUUUUUGAAAUUUUCCUAAGCAUCAAAUAAAGAAUCGUCUCCCUCUUGUCAAAAUGAAGUGAUUUUGUUUCACAUUUU
Molecule: small nucleolar RNA, 107 nt
Organism: Vicia villosa (hairy vetch)
Lineage: Eukaryota; Viridiplantae; Streptophyta; Magnoliopsida; Fabales; Fabaceae
Source: RefSeq, a predicted model, not a curated record